UACGAGUGCCUCAAGCGUUAUCCGGAAUCAUUGGGCGUAAAGGUUGUGUAGGUGGUUGUAUUAGUCUCAUGUUAAAUUCUUCGGCUUAACCGGGGGCAUGCACGGGAAACGGUACAACUAGAGGAUGCGAGGGGUCUGUGGAAUUCAUAGUGUAGCGGUAAAAUGCGUUGAUAUUAUGGAGAACACCAAAAGCGAAGGCAGCAGACUGGAGCACUCCUGACACUGAAACAAGAAAGCGUGGGUCGCGAAUGGG
RNAcentral lists this ribosomal RNA (253 nucleotides) under uncultured bacterium. Its description in RNAcentral is "partial 16S ribosomal RNA". It matches the Rfam family "Bacterial small subunit ribosomal RNA", at positions 524 to 776 of the family's 1533-position model. The record is from RNAcentral.